RNAcentral lists this long non-coding RNA (2859 nucleotides) under Nasonia vitripennis (jewel wasp). RNAcentral describes it as "uncharacterized LOC116415904". Lineage: Eukaryota; Metazoa; Arthropoda; Insecta; Hymenoptera; Pteromalidae. The record is from RNAcentral.
GAUGCCGCGGCUUCGUCUGCUUCUCAAACUCGCCUUCGUGGCGCUACCGCGCCACUUGAUAGUUAUCUGAUAGCUUCUCGUCUCCUUGACAGUAUAAGAGCACACGCUUAUCAGCCCGACAUCGACACUCUUUACUCUCCAAUAUAACAGUAUAUUGUAUAUUCUGCAGUCGGUGCAUUCGCCCGCAGGGCUACGCACUUGCUUGCACGCGAUAAAUAAUGCUUGAAGUGCAUCUUCUUUUCGGCUUAUGAUUCGGAGAAUGUACGCGCGAGAAAGAAACAUCGUCUCAACGCUUCUACGCAUGCGUCCCAAAGGUUCAACAAUGUAUAUCGGGUGUCUUGAUCAAACGCGAGCUGGUCGGUCUUUCACAACACUCGCUUUAUCGCUGUUAUCGCGACAGAUUUUUACGCAUUUUGUUGAAUCUAAAAUUUACUUUUGUUCUGCGUGUAAUAUUGAUUUAGUUCGCAAUAUAUCAUAUCUCUAUGUUUGCACUGGAAUUUUUUUGAGAUUCGAAAUUUUUAUUUUUGAGGCGGAUAUGAGUCUGAUGGCCAUUUCUGCAAUACGAGAGACUUUCUGUGUUAAUAUUUUUGUGUAGCGCAGCGAUAAAGAGUGUACUCUCUGAGUCAGCGACGUUUAAAGCACUGAACCCGUAAUUUCACUCAAUUUAAAGUUGAUAAGUUAUUUAUAUAACUUAAUAAGCAAUUAACUUAUCAAAAUCGUCGUUGCCAUAAUUACAAUAUCAAAUCAUUAUUUUACUAUUUCCAACAAAUCAGAAAAUCAAUACCGCCUUAUGUACCGUAGUUUACAUUUUAAGUACGUGUUAAGAACAAUAAUGUGCUUGCACACUGCAUCAAAAAUGUUUUUAAGCAAAAGUUAAGGAAAAGGGCUUAAUAAGUUUUUGCUAUCAUCAAGUUAUUAGAUCUAGACAUAGAUAGAUAUAGACAAGCUGUUAUCAAGCUGCGAGGAAAAAAUUUGAUUUAUUAUGCAUACAUGAUUAUAGUCAAGUUCUCUCGACUGAUUUUGUAAUUUUUGACAAAUCUUUAAUUACUCCACGCAACAAAAGGGCUUAAAAGAUGCCGGAUCGAGUAUCCCAAAAAAUAGUUUCGCUCUAUUUGCCAAGUCACUGCGGUUAACUCUUUAACAGACGCUUUCUGUGUUAUCUCCGGAGUCCUCUUUUGUGCGCCGGCACAAGAUUCGCGGUUUUAUACGAGACAACCCUAUACACGCUCGUCUUCCCUCAUCUCGACCGCCGCCGUCUGGCGUGUGGAGGUGCGGUAUACACGCCACGAUUCGAAAUCUCUUCGGUACAUACAGGUAUAAAUACAUACAUACAUACAUAUAUACAUAACACCGCGGCUGAGUGGGAAUCCGCUGCGGAGCUUUGCCGAAAUACGGCGAUAUUCUCACGUCUGCGUACUGCCGCCAGUUGCUAUAUAUAUACACACAGUCGCGGAAGCUUCGAAUGCCGUGCGAUGUUGUGUGUGGCCUCGGGAGUCGAUGGAUCGCGCACACCAGAUUCUGCCUCGAAGAGCUGGAUUGAAAUUGAUACGAGCGUUAUUCUUGUAUAUUUUUUAUCAACUGUUUGCAACCAUGUGCUGCCUUUACGUUUAUUGAGAGACUGGUCUGUUUGAUGUGUGUUAGAAAAAGGGGCACGUAUAAGUUAAACCUUUGGCUACGAAGAAAUUCCUGUGUAUUGUACGCGGAAUCGUGAAUAAUACUUUGUGGUCUCGUGCGUAUUAUCCUAACCAAACCGCAACCACUUUGAAGAUUUAAAGUAGAGUAAAACAGUGCACCCGGAGGAUUACGCGGCAGACGGAUGUAUUUUCAGAUCAUAGACGUUUCAGAAUUCCUGCUUUUAGGGAAGGCAGAGUCAAGGACCCCCGACUGUAUCUAUACAUCCGCGAAUAUAGUGCACACUCUCGUGAUCAAUAUGAAGCCCGAUGCGCGGCGGAGACGCACGAAGAGUCCUGUGCCGACGCGCCGACGAAACUAGUUGCUCUUCAGCCACAUGCAACAUGGCAACAUCAAACUCGUUACCCCUUAUUAGCUCGGCUUCUAUUACGUGCGGCUAUUGUCCAAAUCUCGAUACAUCCGAAUAUUAGAUGAUCCAAAUAACCUAUUGAAUACUUAUUACAAAAUUCCUUUUCAUAUUUCGCAUAUUUAGCGGAAAAUUGUACAAAAAUAAAACAACCAUAAUAGUGGCGGUGUUGGUAAAAUAAAAAAAAAUGCGAACAAAAAGCAAAAAUUAACAGCUUAAUUUUUGCUUUCUCAAAAUAAUGAUUUUUAAAUAGGUAUUCAACUUUUUUGUGAAGCUUUAUAAAAUGAGAUUUUUUCGGUACAUGAUUUUCUAGUACGUUUUAGAUAAUGCUUCGUAGAGCUUUAGAUAAUGCUUCGUAGAAACAAAGAACUUAUUAAAGUUUUAUUAAAAUAUAGUGUAUAAAACUAGUAAACGUAUUUCUAGGUAUUUUGAAAAAUAACACACGUCGACCGAUCGUUUUUUAAAACAGUUAUAUGUAAGUAUGAAAAUGUACGUGCGCUGAAUGUAUAUGUAUAAAUAUACGUUUUUGUUUCAUAGCGAUUUUCAAAAGUGAUAGUACACAUUUUGUGAUACUAGGAAGAAUAUAAAAGAUAAGAGAUAUUAUAAUAAGAGAAAUACAAUAGUGGAAGGAUAUACGUGUGUCAGUGCAGGCAAUAGUCUAAUUAUCAUGUCUUAUUUUCAAAAAAUGGUAAACAACUGUACUGUGUGACAGAGAGGUACACAAGUUUAAUUUCUGUGAAUUAUUUGAAAAUUGUUAGAAAGUAUUUUAAAGUUCAUAGCGUUGAACAAUAAUAAAUAUAUCUAAACUUGUUAUUAUUUAA